GCCCACCAUGCGAUCAUGAAAAACUAUCUGUGUCCUGGCUAUUUACAAUUACCUACUUGUUUGGGAAAGAUUUCUUCUCUUCCUUCCACGUCUCCUAAGCUGUGUGCACGGUGAAAAGGUUGGGGCUGGGCAGCCUUGGUUUUUUGUUGGUUUUUUUUUUUCCCCCUCGGCUGUGUUUAUCCACCCAAGAAAGUAUUUUAAGUACUUUGUUUCCAUUAUGCUAUUCUGAGCCCAUUACUUGGUGGGGUGAUUAAAGAUUGCUUUUGGCAAGAGAAGAGAAGACAAAGUGUUUGUUACUUCCAUGACUGUUAGCCUUUUCCAGGGAGCCUUCAAAGGGAAAAACAUAAACAUAUGGGACACAAAAUACAUAUUGGCUUCGUAAUGGGAGCCCUGGAGAAUGUCUGGCCCUUCACCUUUGCCUGGAAUCCGAGUAGCUGUAGCUGGGACAGGCAGCAGGAGAAGGACUCUUUCUAGGGCCUCUCGGAGGCUACCGACUUCUGGGUUCUUCUCUCUUCCUCUUCAUCUGGGUGUGCACUGAUCCUUUCGCUCGGCUCGGAUCUUCCUCGCGAGCUUCCCCAUCCUUUCCAUCGGUAUUUGGACGCAGCCCCGGAGGAGACAGGUGAGGUCUCGACCCUCGUGGGGCUGGAGACUUCGAGCGUGGCACACAAACGUUAACGAUGCCGCAGGUGCCCAGAGGUAACUCCCGGCCUCUGCCUCCUUCCUGCGUGUCUAACCAGCCACCUGCUCGCCACGAGCUCAUCGCCCACCCCAGCGACCCAGCACGUGGGCACAUGGCUGCAAGCCCCUGGAGACGAGCAGAAUUUCCAGACCCGAGAAAUGAAAAGACUUUCCAGGACACGCAAUGCACAACGGCCCAUUAAAAAAAUAAAUAAAGAUAUCUUUCAUUUAAAAAAAUUUUU
Molecule: long non-coding RNA, 920 nt
Filed under: Felis catus (domestic cat)
Lineage: Eukaryota; Metazoa; Chordata; Mammalia; Carnivora; Felidae
Description: lncRNA (ENSFCAG00000050194.1)
Source: RNAcentral